CGCCGGCACCACCUCGGCAGAGCGGGCUGUGCUAAGUGUUCACGUGCACUGGCAGGAGCAGUUGACGGACUCGUGGAUUCCACAGCCCGCCAAAGGCCGACACAACCGUCUGAAAAGGACAGGCUUUCUCAAUGCUGAGGAAAUAAUCUAUGCCAGAAGCCGCAGGUUUAAGUCAGCUCUAAAUCUGGCCUGAUUCUCAGAAUUCCCAUCAUUGCUAUGGGACUUCUGAUCAGCCAACAGGACCAAAAAAUAUCAAUUUCAGGAACCUAGGAAAUUUAAACAAUUGCUGGUGCUGAGAAUCAGCAGAUUCAGGGGGAAACAGCAACAACAUCAAUAACAACCUGAAAAACGGGCCGGCAGGCUCAGAGGCCCUCUGGAGGUGGUGACUUUUGGACUUUCACUUGAAUCCCUACUGUGUCCUGCCAUCUUUUCCCUUACAUUCUCCAUCCUGGGUUCUGCAGUUAAGGUCUGGAAUUGAGGGCUGUUCUGAGCAUAAGACCUGGGCUGAGAAGAGAUGCGAUACAUUUGUUUUCUCCCGUGUCUGAAAGAAGAGAAACCCAAAUUCAGCCAAGUGGAUAACUCUUCUGAGGCUAAAAAAGAAAAGUGUGUUUGUGACACAUGCAUCCUCUGAGAUAUUAUGUUGUGACCUACUGUGUGUUGUG
Non-coding RNA from Vicugna pacos (alpaca), 662 nucleotides. The record is from RefSeq and is a predicted model, not a curated record. Lineage: Eukaryota; Metazoa; Chordata; Mammalia; Artiodactyla; Camelidae.